GGACAACCUGCCCUUAGGUUGGGUAUAAACCCGGGAAACUGGGUAUAAUACCCGAUAGGUCUCGAUUGCUGGAAUGCAUCGAGAUUUAAAGCUCCGGCGCCUAAGGAUGGGUCUGCGGCCUAUCAGGUAGUAGUGGGUGUAGCGUACCUACUAGCCUACGACGGGUACGGGUUGUGAGAGCAAGAGCCCGGAGAUGGAUUCUGAGACACGAAUCCAGGCCCUACGGGGUGCAGCAGGCGCGAAAACUUUACAAUGCUGGCAACAGCGAUAAGGGAACCUCGAGUGCCAGGUUACAAAUCUGGCUGUCGAGAUGCCUAAAAAGCAUUUCAUAGCAAGGGCCGGGCAAGACCGGUGCCAGCCGCCGCGGUAACACCGGCGGCUCGAGUGGUAACCGUUAUUAUUGGGUCUAAAGGGUCUGUAGCCGGCCGGAUAAGUCUCUUGAGAAAUCUGGCAGCUUAACUGUCAGGCUUUCAGGAGAUACUGUCUGGCUCGAGGCCGGGAGAGGUGAGAGGUACUUCAGGGGUAGGGGUGAAAUCUUGUAAUCCUUGAAGGACCACCAGUGGCGAAGGCGUCUUACCAGAACGGGUCCGACGGUGAGGGACGAAAGCUGGGGGCACGAACCGGAUUAGAUACCCGGGUAGUCCCAGCUGUAAACUAUGCUCGCUAGGUGUCAGGGACGGUGCGACCGUUUCUGGUGCCGCAGGGAAGCCGUGAAGCGAGCCACCUGGGAAGUACGGCCGCAAGGCUGAAACUUAA
Molecule: ribosomal RNA, 756 nt
Filed under: uncultured archaeon
Lineage: Archaea
Description: bacterial SSU rRNA
Rfam family: Archaeal small subunit ribosomal RNA
Source: RNAcentral